This 1486-nucleotide long non-coding RNA is filed under the name Anser brachyrhynchus (Pink-footed goose). Its description in RNAcentral is "lncRNA (ENSABRG00000018857.1)". Lineage: Eukaryota; Metazoa; Chordata; Aves; Anseriformes; Anatidae. The record is from RNAcentral.
AUGGCCCUUACCAGCCUCACCUGGGUCCCCGCACCCAGCCCAGGAGCUCUAUUUAAGCUCAGCUCAGGACCUCCCUUUUUUUCUGAGCUGUGCAGGAGGGGUGCUGGCCUCCAGCUCAGUCUGGCCUUGGGGGUCCCAAUGUGCCCAUUGCCUUCCUGGCAUGGUGUUAGCCCUGCCCUGUCACUCAGGACCUGCAGACGGACUUUCUGGCUCACCAUGGGACCUGUCACAUCGUGGUGCUGCUGCCUCACGCAGCUCUUGGUUGGCCCUGGCUGCUGCCUCUGGGUUUGGGCACGCAUCCACCUGUCUGGCCGGGGAUGGAGACGAAGGCUAGCGAUGCAUUCUGUGGAGCAAGCUUUGUGGCCGCCCUUGGAGCAGCACCAGGCACUUGCCAUCACCCGGGUGUUCAGCACCUCCUGGGCAAGGCCAGGGAGCUGCCAGCCCCGAGGGGUGCUCGGUGGCCCCCCAGGCCCCCAGUGCAGCUGAGCACAUCCCUCUGCUCUCAGCUUUGGGGCUGCUUCCACUCCUCCAAGUGUGGUGUGGGAAUGAAGAAGUCCCUUUGGAGAAGCAGGGGGCUUUCUUUGUGUUUCCCACUAACUGUGCAAGGUCCCGAGGCUUCCCAGCUGGAAAUGAGCGGCUCCAGCACAGGGACUGGGGUGCGCUCAGCACAGGGCAGAGGUUGGCCCCACAGGGAAGCUGCAGAAGUUAAAUGAGAAAUACUGAUGUGAGUUAGGGCUUUGCCUCAAGCAUUUUUGCGAUGGGUGUUUGGGCUGAGAGUUUCCACUCCUGCAAAAGUGUCAUGUUUAUACAUGACAUCAGCACUUAUAAUCCCUUACUGAUAGAAUUUAAACACUUUUCCCUUGCUUGGCCACUUAUAAUGGGCUGCAGUGUGACACUCUUCAGUGUCUUUUUUUUAAAGAACAACAACAAAAGCCAACAAAGGUGUGAAAACAAGUCUCUUCUGGAAAAAUCUAAGCCUGGCACAAGUACAUUUCCAGUAUUUUUGGAAAGCUGCCUGUGGGGGAAGCAGGUGUCAGCAACCAGCUCCCAGCUGGUCUUCACCUGCGGAAACAAGAAAAAAGGAGCUGGAUUAAAUAUAGCCCCUGGGAAAUAAGUGCUGGAGUAUCCACCAAGAUCACACUUCCCUCUCUAAUUUACUGCCUGGGGUUUUCCUAAAGCUACAGAGGAGAGUCGAGGGCAGACCAGCACCGUGGGCAGGCCAUGCAGAGCCUGUUCCUUCCCCCAGGGAUGGUCACGGUGUGUGCCCAGAGCCCCCCAAGCUGAAGGUGAGCCCCUGUCCCUCUUCCCUCCCUCUGAACUCGGGGCAGUGAUGUGAACCAAGCAAGCAAAACCACACUGGGGCCCUUCAUCACCCUGUUUUUUGCCCUGACUUGUUUCGCUUUCUGUUCCGAAUGGGGAGUGUCUGGUGCUGCGGGGCUGGGUCCCCUCCCUGCUUCGGAAGCGCCGUUCCCCAAAGCUGAGCCGA